UAGGGAAUCUUCCACAAUGGACGCAAGUCUGAUGGAGCAACGCCGCGUGAGUGAAGAAGGUUUUCGGACCGUAAAGCUCUGUUGUUGGUGAAGAAGGAUAGAGGUAGUAACUGGCCUUUAUUUGACGGUAAUCAACCAGAAAGUCACGGCUAACUACGUGCCAGCAGCCGCGGUAAUACGUAGGUGGCAAGCGUUGUCCGGAUUUAUUGGGCGUAAAAGCGAGCGCAGGCGGAAGAAUAAGUCUGAUGUGAAAGCCCUCGGCUUAACCGAGGAAUUGCAUCGGAAACUGUUUUCUUGAGUGCAGAAGAGGAGAGUAGAACUCCAUGUGUAGCGGUGGAAUGCGUAGAUAUAUGGAAGAAUACCAGUGGCGAAAGGCGGCUCUCUGGUCUGCAACUGACGCUGAGGCUCGAAAAGCAUGGGUAGCGAACAGGAUUAGAUACCCUGGUAGUCCAUGCCGUAAACGAUGAGUGCUAAGUGUUGGGAGGCUUCCGCCUCUCAGUGCUGCAGCUAACGCAUUAAGCACUCCGCCUGGGGGAGUACGACCGCAAG
RNAcentral lists this ribosomal RNA (549 nucleotides) under uncultured bacterium. Its description in RNAcentral is "partial 16S ribosomal RNA". It matches the Rfam family "Bacterial small subunit ribosomal RNA", at positions 355 to 892 of the family's 1533-position model. The record is from RNAcentral.